RNAcentral lists this ribosomal RNA (150 nucleotides) under Saxifraga sp. 9.1. RNAcentral's name for it is "5.8S ribosomal RNA". It matches the Rfam family "5.8S ribosomal RNA". From Rfam's summary of the family: 5.8S ribosomal RNA (5.8S rRNA) is a component of the large subunit of the eukaryotic ribosome. Lineage: Eukaryota; Viridiplantae; Streptophyta; Magnoliopsida; Saxifragales; Saxifragaceae. The record is from RNAcentral.
UCGGCAACGGAUAUCUCGGCUCUUACAUCGAUGAAGAACGUAGCAAAAUGCGAUACUUGGUGUGAAUUGCAGAAUCCCGUGAACCAUCGAGUCUUUGAACGCAAGUUGCGCCCGAAUCCUUUUGGUCGAAGGCACGUCUGCCUGGGUGUC